UCGGGGGGCUACGGCCCCGAAUGGAUGUAGGCCAGUCAGAAUUGCAGUACCAAUUCACAAUGACUGGCCGGCACCAUGUCCAUUGGUAACCCUUGUCUACUAGUACCACUGUUUCCUCAGCAAGUUCGCUUGCUAAUGGGGGCCCUAUUCAACCUUUUUUUAUAUUGUAGUAACCGUAUGCAAACAAAUAAUCA
Molecule: unclassified non-coding RNA, 194 nt
Filed under: uncultured Ascomycota
Lineage: Eukaryota; Fungi; Ascomycota
Description: sequence contains ITS1
Source: RNAcentral